UGAUGCCGAGAGGCGGUCGUGAUGCCGA
Molecule: small RNA, 28 nt
Filed under: Bombyx mori (domestic silkworm)
Lineage: Eukaryota; Metazoa; Arthropoda; Insecta; Lepidoptera; Bombycidae
Description: ovarian small RNA-32855
Source: RNAcentral